UGGGGAAUAUUGCACAAUGGGGGAAACCCUGAUGCAGCGACGCCGCGUGGACGAUGAAGUGCCCCGGUACGUAAAGUCCUGUCAGCAGGGAAGAAAACGACAGUACCUGACCAAGAAGCCCCGGCUAACUACGUGCCAGCAGCCGCGGUAAUACGUAGGGGGCAAGCGUUAUCCGGAUUCACUGGGCGUAAAGGGAGCGCAGGCGGCACGGCAAGUCUGGUGUGAAAGCCCGGGGCCCAACCCCGGGACUGCACUGGAAACUGCCGGGCUGGAGUGCCGGAGGGGUAAGCGGAAUUCCUAGUGUAGCGGUGAAAUGCGCAGAUAUUAGGAGGAACACCAGUGGCGGAGGCGGCUUACUGGACGGUCACUGACGCUGAGGCUCGAAAGCGUGGGGAGCAAACAGG
RNAcentral lists this ribosomal RNA (404 nucleotides) under uncultured bacterium. RNAcentral's name for it is "bacterial SSU rRNA". It matches the Rfam family "Bacterial small subunit ribosomal RNA", at positions 355 to 776 of the family's 1533-position model. The record is from RNAcentral.